GGCGCUAUAGCCAAGUGGUUACGGCGACAGAUUCGAACUAACAGUACAAUCUGUUCCUCUUUGAGGGCGCAGGUUCAAAUCCUGCUGGCGUCG
This is a non-coding RNA of Termitomyces sp. T32_za158, 93 nucleotides long. The record is from the annotation of a GenBank genome assembly. NCBI's taxonomy places the organism in Eukaryota, Fungi, Basidiomycota, Agaricomycetes, Agaricales, Lyophyllaceae.